This 450-nucleotide ribosomal RNA is filed under the name uncultured bacterium. Its description in RNAcentral is "partial 16S ribosomal RNA". It matches the Rfam family "Bacterial small subunit ribosomal RNA", at positions 354 to 796 of the family's 1533-position model. The record is from RNAcentral.
GUGGGGAAUCUUCCGCAAUGGGCGAAAGCCUGACGGAGCAACGCCGCGUGAGUGAAGACGGCCUUCGGGUUGUAAAGCUCUGUUAUAUGGGACGAACGUAUCUAUGGCCAAUACCCAUAGAUAGUGACGGUACCGUAAGAGAAAGCCACGGCUAACUACGUGCCAGCAGCCGCGGUCAUACGUAGGUGGCAAGCGUUGUCCGGAAUUAUUGGGCGUAAAGGGCGCGCAGGCGGCCUGUCAAGUCUGUCUUAAAAGUGCGGGGCUCAACCCCGUGAUGGGACGGAAACUGGCAGGCUGGAGUGUCGGAGAGGAAAGCAGAAUUCCUAGUGUAGCGGUGAAAUGCGUAGAUAUUAGGAGGAAUACCAGUGGCGAAAGCGGCUUUCUGGACGACAACUGACGCUGAGGCGCGAAAGCCAGGGGAGCAAACGGGAUUAGAUACCCGAGUAGUCC